RNAcentral lists this ribosomal RNA (1354 nucleotides) under uncultured bacterium. Its description in RNAcentral is "16S ribosomal RNA". It matches the Rfam family "Bacterial small subunit ribosomal RNA", at positions 30 to 1404 of the family's 1533-position model. The record is from RNAcentral.
UGAACGCUAGCGGCGUGCCUGAGAUAUGCAAGUCGAGCGUAGGUCUGUAGCAAUACAGACUUCAGCGGCGGACGGCUGAGUAAUACAUAGGAAUCUACCCCUAACUGGGGGAUAGCCCACCGAAAGGUGGGAUAAUACCCCAUAGUCUAAGCCUAGCUUAGUAAAGGCGCAAGCCGGUAAGGGAUGAGCCUGUGGCCUAUCAGGUAGUUGGCGGGGUAAAGGCCCACCAAGCCUACGACGGGUAGCUAAUCUGAGAGGAUGGUUAGCCAGAGGGGGACUGCGACACGGCCCCCACUCCUACGGGAGGCAGCAAUCAGGAAUAGUCGGCAAUGGGCGAAAGCCUGACCGCGCGACGCCGUGUGAGGGAUGAAGCUCGAAAGAGUGUAAACCUCUGUGGUAGGGGAAGAAACAAAUGACGGUACCCUACUAGAAAGGAGCCGCUAACUGCGUGCCAGAAGCGUCGGUAAUACGUGGGCUUCAAGCGUUAUCCGGUUUUAUUGGGCGUAAAGGGUCGUGUAGGCGGUCUAUUAAGUUAUCUUUUAAACUCUCCGGCUCAACUGGGGAUUGGGGAUAAUACUGGUAGACUAGAAUUUUCUUUAGGGUAAAUGGAACUGAGGGAGGAGUAGUGAAAUGCGUUGAUACCCUCGGGAACACCAGUGGCGAAGGCGAUUUACUGGAAGAAGAUUGACGCUGAGACACGAAAGCUAGGGGAGCGAAGCAGAUUAGAGACCUGCGUAGUCCUAGCCCUAAACGAAUGCUUGCUAGCUGCAUUUUCCCUCAACGCAAGUUGGGAUAAGUGUGGCGAAGGUAACCCGUUAAGCAAGCCGCCUGGGGAUUACGGCCGCAAGGCUAAAACUCAAAGGAAUUGGCGGGGAGGCACACAACCAGUGGAACAUGUGGUUUAAUUCGAUACAAAACGAAGCACCUCACCAGGGCUUGACAUCUAAGCGUCCUAUUUCCUGGAAACAGGAGAAAUUCGUAAGAAGGUUUAGACAGGUGCUGCAUGGCUGUCGUCAGUUCGUUCCGUGAGGAGUGCCCUUAAGUGGGACAACGAACGCAACCCCCAUCUUGUGUUAAAAAUGUCACAAGAGACUGCCCUUGCUUUGCAGGGGAGGAAGGAGGGGCAGACGUCAAGUCAGCAUGGUCCUUAUGCCCUGGGCCACACACAUGUUACAAUGAACAACAACAAUGAGCUUUGCCAGCACGUAAGUGUGAGCCAAUCUCUUAAAUUUGUUCUCAGUAGGGAUUGAGGUCUGCAACUCGACCUCAUGAACGCGGAAUUGGUAGUAAUCGCGGGUCAGCCAUACCGCGGUGAAUACGUUCUUGCCUCUUGCACACACCGCCCGUCAAACCA